Molecule: long non-coding RNA, 3906 nt
Organism: Hypanus sabinus (Atlantic stingray)
Lineage: Eukaryota; Metazoa; Chordata; Chondrichthyes; Myliobatiformes; Dasyatidae
Exons: 3
Source: RefSeq, a predicted model, not a curated record
UAUACUUUGUAACUAAAGAGUCCAGCUUCCUUUCGGCCACUUUUGACUUUGAGCCGCUUUAUCAAAAUGCUGGAAGUAUUUACCAACCUCAGUCUCAUCAAAUGGAGGGACCAAUUUAACUUUCUGGCUGGCAUUAAACGGUACAACCAACUCCUUUGAGCCAGCAACUUCUUUCUCGAGCCUUAACUUCUCUAUCACAAACUGCCUCUGUCUUUCUCCUUCUUCCCUCUGUUUUUCUGCUUCCUCAGCUUCAGAACUUUUUUUAUGCUUCUUCCAUCUGUUUGUAUGCCUGUCAAGCAUCAAACACCCUCUUUCUCUCAUUCUCUUCAGCCUCUAAUUUGUACAUCAAUCUUCAAUUGUUCCAGUCAUAACUGGAUCUCCUCUUUACUCACAGAAAACCUCUGUAACACCUCCUUAUCAUACACCUUCAUAGAUAUAUUGUGCUCAACUAUUUUCCUCUGAAUUUCUGGCUUUCUCAUAGCCCCCCUAUGGAGGCUGCAAUUCCCAGCCGCACCAUCAACCGGACAUAUUAAAGUGUCCUGGAGCCGACCAUCCUCCUGAUAAUCUGGUAAACGACUGAGCUGUUGCGUUACACCAGCCUAAGUAGAUGGGGCUGGAUAAUUGGAUUGUGCCAUUCUACUACAGCCAGGGGAAUGUUCUCUGGAGCUACUUCAUUUAUGCCAUAUCUUUUUAAGGAGAGGAAUGUUUUCUCUCCCAUGCAACUUACUAUUGAAUGGCCAGCAUCCAAUAUAAGCCCACAGCCAGGAGCUGAGUGGUGUCUCUUGGUCUGAGGAGUAUUUCACUAUGUUGUUGUAACCCAGUUUUGUUCUGUUUAGCUGAUUCAAGUUUGGACUGUAGAACAGUUCUGUUGAGUUUAUAAACAUUUUGGGUAACAAAACUCCUAUUUUUUUCACCUGUACCUGCUCUCCCAGUUUUAUGCUUCCCCUGGUCCUUCACACCCCCAUACCUCAUUGAGGUUCAAUAGUCAGCUAUUCAUUUGUUUUAGCUUUUCCUAAUGCCUCAGGGGUUGGCGCUUCCAGACAUAUAUAAAUAUCCAUUGCUGCUGAUUUCCACACACAAAUAAAUCAAAAGGGAUUUUCCCCAAUCAGAUUGAUAAUUAUUUGAUCAAUAAGCCCUGCAAAUUUGUUCAUAUCCCAGACGCAGGCCCCAAUUUUGUUAUGAACCAUAAUGCUUUAGACACAAACCAGCAACAAUAGACUACACUUGGAGUCCAGUUUUGAUGUCAAAACCACUGUCUUUAUUUGUAACUACUUAUAAAAUUGUAACAAACAAUUUAAACAAAAGUUAAGUGUUAUGUGUAUAAAUGUGUGUAAAUAUAACUCCCAAACUACUGAGCUCGAGGGAAACAAUGCUUGGAGUCUUGCGAUGGUAAAGUUCAGGUCAUCCACAGAAUAGGUGAUGAGAGAGAGAUAGUUGCAAUCCAGGGUAAAUGUCGAGAGAAGGCAAUUCUGUCGAAUUCCACAGGUUCCACGGUGGUAAAAUGAGAGAUCAGUCGCUGUAGAAUUUAUCCGUCGUUCCAAAUCCACAUACGAAUUAUCACCGAAAGCGAAUUGUCACAGUGAUAUCGUCAUCACCCAGGAAAGGGCAACACAUAAGUGGUCUCCACAGGAUACGCCAAAUCCGAUCCAAACCUAUGGAUCAAACGAGGUGACAACCACACAUUCCAUGUACGGUGAAUUGAUAAUUAACCCACCCUUGCGGGUAUAGGAAAUUUCUGAAAAAUGACCCUUGGCCACCAACUCCCUGGUUUCAAUCCUUCCAUUUUUCCUCUGUCUCCAUCUGACUCUGAGCGUCCGUGUCCUCGAUUAAAACUAAACACGCUGCAAGUCAGACUGAUUUGAUUUCUUAAUCUCACACUUUCUCUCUUAAAAUGACAGUCCACAGUAAACGAAACAUAGGGAUUCAUAACAAUGGCCACACCCUGUUGUGAUCUGACUGGUGUGCCAGUAGUUGGGAUGACUGAGUGAAACCUUUCCCACAGACUGAGCAGGUGAAUGGCUUCUCCCCAGUGUGAACUCGCUGAUGUCUCUGUAGGUUGGAUGAAUCAGUGAAUCUCUUCCUGCAGUCUGAGCAGGUGAAAGGCUUCUCCCCAGUGUGAACUCGCUGGUGACUCUGUAGGCUGGAUGACUCAGUGAAUCUAUUCCCACAGACUAAGCAGGUGAACAGCUUCUCCCCAGUGUGAUCUCUCUGAUGACUCUGUAGUCUGAAUGACUGAGUGAAUCCCCUCCCACAGACGGAGCAGAUGAAUGGCCUCUCCCCAGUGUGAUCUCGCUGAUGUACCAGUAGGUUGGAUGAUGCAGUGAAUCUCUUCCCACAGACAGAGCAGGUGAACGGCUUCUCCCCAGUGUGAACUCGCUGAUGGAUCAGUAGGCGGGAUGACAGUGUGAAUCCCUUCCCACAUUCUGAGCAGGUGAACGGCUUCUCCCCAGUAUGAACAAACUGGUGUGCCAGUAGUUGGGAUGACCAAGUGAAUCUCUUCCCACAGACUGAGCAUGUGAACGGCUUCUCCCCAGUGUGAACUCGCUGAUGGCUCAGUAGGUGGGAUGACUGAGUGAAUCCGUUCCCACAGACUAUGCAGGUGAACGGCCGCCCCCUGGUGUGAAGUCACUGGUGAGCCAUUAGAUCGAGAGAAACCCUUCCCCGAAAUUCAGCAGAUGACAGCCUGUGCCCAGUGUGAUCUAACUGAUGUACCCACAGGUGGGAUGACCAACAGAAUCAUUUCCCACAAACAGAAUGGACUUGCCCAGUGUAAACCUGCUCAUGUACCUUCAGUUGAGAUAACCGAGUGAAUCCAUUCCCACUGUCUGAGCAGGUGAACGGCCUUUCUCCUGUGUAAAAUGACAGGCUUGCAAUUUUGUCAAAUGACCAAAUGAAUCCCUCCCCACAGUCUGAGCAGGAAGGAUGGUCGAGUGAAUCCCUUGCUCCACUUCUUAAAUAUCUAGACAGAGACAACAAAACUGGCGUGCCAUGUUUGAGCUUCCUGGAGCCAAAUUCCUUCCCAUUUUUAACCUGUAAGAAGAUUUACAAAAUCCAUCAAUGGAUUUAGGACAACAUUUCAGAUGAGAUUACAUGAGUUGCCAAGGAUUGAUCUGGUAUCACACUCUCCUGACUGGGCAGAGAGCUGGUAUCUGGAAUGACCAUCAAUUCCUGUCUCUAUAAGAAUGGGGCAUUUCUGCCAUCUGCAAUCUGUGGCCUGGCUCAGUUUGACUCUCCAUUGGUAUUAUUCCCUGCUCCUGCUGAGCAGCAUGGGUGCCUGGCCCCACGGUAACUGAAACAGUAUCACACAAAUAGUCUUUCUAGACGUGCAACUGGAAUUUUCUCUUAUGUAUUAUUAACUUAAAGUGCCACAAUUUUAACGCCAUAUAAAAAAUUCCUACUGAGAUGAAUGGUUGGUCCACAUAGCUGUUAAAAGGGCUUAGAGUGAAUUUUUGUAAUAUUUCAGUUUUGUCUAGAAAACUACAACACAGAAACAGGCCCUUUGGGCUAUCUAGUUUGUGCUGAACUAAUUAAACUGCCCACUGCCACAUCCCUACCAUCCAGGUACCUACACGAACCGCUUAAAUGUUGAAAUCGAGCUCGCAUGCACCACUCGGGAUGGCUGCUCAUUCCAAACCUAGAUGACUUUCUGUGUGAAGAAGUUUCCCCUCAUGUUCCCCUUAAAAUUUCACCUUUCACCCUUAAUCCAUGGCCACUGGUUGUAGUCCCACACCAAUCAGUGGUAAAAGCAAGCUUGAAUUUACACCUUCCCUUUAGUUGAAUAUACUCAAAGGCGCUUUCUAAAUGGUCACCUAUGUCGUUGUCAUUCAUAGGUCGAAUAAAUGCUAUAAAAAUGGCUAUUCUACCGAAUUUUUUAUAUUUAUUUCAGGCAGUUCCCUCUUUUGUUCC